UGGUAACAAGGGGGAAAAGAUAGUUUGGUAACAAUGCCAAAUAAGUUGCAAGCCUAUCUUUAGUGAAAUUCAAUAAAAUGUGGUGUGUUUUCUUCUUCAAAUGUAGAAGGAGUCCUUUGACAGGGAGAUAUAAAAUAUUGUGUAUGUAAGUGUGUAUGUAUAUGUGUCACACACACACAGAGACAUAGACAGAGAGAGAUAG
This is a long non-coding RNA of Perognathus longimembris pacificus (Pacific pocket mouse), 202 nucleotides long. RefSeq lists it as uncharacterized. The transcript has 3 exons. Lineage: Eukaryota; Metazoa; Chordata; Mammalia; Rodentia; Heteromyidae. The record is from RefSeq and is a predicted model, not a curated record.